RNAcentral lists this ribosomal RNA (301 nucleotides) under uncultured bacterium. Its description in RNAcentral is "partial 16S ribosomal RNA". It matches the Rfam family "Bacterial small subunit ribosomal RNA", at positions 509 to 807 of the family's 1533-position model. The record is from RNAcentral.
CAGUCGCCGCGGGAAAACGGAGGGUGCAAGCGUUAAUCGGAAUUACUGGGCGUAAAGCGUGCGUAGGCGGUUCGUUAAGUCUGUUGUGAAAGCCCCGGGCUCAACCUGGGAAUGGCAAUGGAUACUGGCGAGCUAGAGUGUGUCAGAGGAUGGUGGGAUUCCCGGUGUAGCGGUGAAAUGCGUAGAGAUCGGGAGGAACAUCAGUGGCGAAGGCGGCCAUCUGGGACAACACUGACGCUGAGGCACGAAAGCGUGGGGAGCAAACAGGAUUAGAUACCCCCGUAGUCCCUGUCUCUUAUAC